GAUGAAGAACGCAGCGAAAUGCGAUACGUAAUGUGAAUUGCAGAAUUCAGUGAAUCAUCGAAUCUUUGAACGCAUAUUGCGCUCUCUGGUAUUCCGGAGAGCAUGCUUGUUUGAGUAUCAGUAAACACCUCAACUCCCUUUUCUUUUUUGAAAUGGGAGCUGGACUUGAGUGAUCCCAACACUUUUCUCACUGGAAAGUGGCGGGUCACUUGAAAUGCAGGUGCAGCUGGACUUUUCUCUGAGCUAUAAGCAUAUCUAUUUAGUCUGCCUAAAAACAGAUUAUUACCUUUGCUGCAGCUAACAUAAAGGAGAUUAGUUCUUGUGCUGACUGAUGCAGGAUUCACAAAGACAGGCUUCGGCCGACUUUGUAAACUCGAUCUCAAAUCAAGUAAGACUACCCGCUGAACUUAAGCAUAUCAAUAAGCGGAGGA
Molecule: unclassified non-coding RNA, 431 nt
Filed under: soil metagenome
Description: partial contains 5.8S ribosomal RNA, internal transcribed spacer 2, and large subunit ribosomal RNA
Rfam family: 5.8S ribosomal RNA (bases 1-120)
Source: RNAcentral